GGGACCAACCUCGCCCUAGAAGGGACCGGGGGAACAAACAACUACGAAAGUAGUUGACUAACUACCGCAUGUGUAUCGGAAUGGCAUCAUUCAGGAUACAAAGCCUUCGGGCACUUCAGGAUGGGCCCGCGGCCUAUCAGCUAGUUGGUGAGGUAACGGCCCACCAAGGCUUCGACGGGUAGCUGGUCUGAGAGGACGAUCAGCCGGAUUGGGACUGAGAUACGGCCCAG
RNAcentral lists this ribosomal RNA (230 nucleotides) under uncultured bacterium. RNAcentral's name for it is "partial 16S ribosomal RNA". It matches the Rfam family "Bacterial small subunit ribosomal RNA", at positions 119 to 334 of the family's 1533-position model. The record is from RNAcentral.